CCCUAAAAAAGUGGGAUUGCUGAGUGCUAAAAUCACUUCACUUUAUGAUGUCCUGUUACAUCCUGUCCACCCUCUUUGAGCGCACCACCAUUCAAUGACCCCAUUUUGACUUUUGCGUGGAUUCGGCCUUCUUUUUUCUUGCGUGUAUGGUUGUUCCCACAUGUGGCUGUUAUGAGCAGAAAAUUUAAAACCUCCAUUUAUGAAGAUCUGUUUAGUUGUGUGUGUCUGCCACGUCCCAGGCCCUGCCCGCCAUGCUGGGGAUGCAGCAGAGCUGUUCUGCCCACAUGGAGCUUCCAUUCUCUUGGGAGAAAACGACAGCAACUGAACAAAGCUCA
This 335-nucleotide long non-coding RNA is filed under the name Equus caballus (horse). RNAcentral describes it as "lncRNA (ENSECAG00000058295.1)". Lineage: Eukaryota; Metazoa; Chordata; Mammalia; Perissodactyla; Equidae. The record is from RNAcentral.